UUGGUGAUGGGAGUGAGACCUUGUCUC
Molecule: non-coding RNA, 27 nt
Filed under: Homo sapiens (human)
Lineage: Eukaryota; Metazoa; Chordata; Mammalia; Primates; Hominidae
Source: RNAcentral